This 568-nucleotide ribosomal RNA is filed under the name haloarchaeon enrichment culture clone B1A-C33. Its description in RNAcentral is "bacterial SSU rRNA". It matches the Rfam family "Archaeal small subunit ribosomal RNA", at positions 340 to 908 of the family's 1478-position model. Lineage: Archaea; Methanobacteriati; Methanobacteriota; Halobacteria; Halobacteriales. The record is from RNAcentral.
CGCGAAACCUUUACACUGCACGACAGUGCGAUAGGGGAACUCCGAGUGCGAGGGCAUAGAGCCCUCGCUUUUCUGCACCGUAAGGUGGUGCAGGAACAAGUGCUGGGCAAGACCGGUGCCAGCCGCCGCGGUAAUACCGGCAGCACGAGUGAUGGCCGAUCUUAUUGGGCCUAAAGCGUCCGUAGCUGGCCGUGCAAGUCCGUCGGGAAAUCCAGUGGCUCAACCUCUGGGCUUCCGGCGGAAACUGCUCGGCUUGGGACCGGAAGACUCGAGGGGUACGUUCGGGGUAGGAGUGAAAUCCCGUAAUCCUGAACGGACCACCGAUGGCGAAAGCACCUCGAGAGCACGGAUCCGACAGUGAGGGACGAAAGCUAGGGUCUCGAACCGGAUUAGAUACCCGGGUAGUCCUAGCUGUUAACGAUGCCCGCUCGGUUCGGCGCAGGCUACGAGCCUGUGCCGCGCCUCAGUGAAGACGUAAGCGGGCCACCUGGGAAGUACGUCCGCAAGGAUGAAACUUAAAGGAAUUGGCGGGGGAGCACUACAACCGGAGGAGCCUGCGGUUUAAUUG